RNAcentral lists this microRNA (19 nucleotides) under Gallus gallus (chicken). RNAcentral describes it as "gga-miR-6626-5p". The record is from miRBase by way of RNAcentral. Lineage: Eukaryota; Metazoa; Chordata; Aves; Galliformes; Phasianidae.
AGGAGAGAGAAGGGUUGCU